GGUCAUAUAGCUCAGUGGUAGAGCAUCUGCUUUGGAUGCAGAAAAUCCCAGGUUUAAUUUCCUCAUCUCUAGGUAAGGCUG
Non-coding RNA from Podarcis lilfordi (Lilford's wall lizard), 81 nucleotides. Lineage: Eukaryota; Metazoa; Chordata; Lepidosauria; Squamata; Lacertidae. The record is from the annotation of a GenBank genome assembly.